UGCCCACUGCCACACAGCAGCGCCGCCGCCGCCGCCAGCACAGGCGCCGGAGAACGACCGGGAAAUGGCCUUGCCGGCGAUCCCUAACGAGAUCCUGGCGGAUAUCUUCCUCCGCCUUCCCACCCCCAGAGGAUCUCAUCCGCGCCUCCGCCGCCUGCGUCUCCUUCCGCCGCCUCGUCGCCGACCACGCCUUCCUCCGGCGCUUCCGCAAGCUCCACCCUCCGCCCUCCUCGGCUUCGUCGACUACAGAGGCUUCCACCCCGCCGAACCGCCUCACCCCUCCGCGCCGGCGGCCAGCGCGGUCGCCAGCGCCGCGGACUUCGACUUCAAGUUCCCCCCCGAUGGCGAUACGGACUUGGACUGGACCGUGCGGGAAGUCCGCGACGGUCGCGUCCUCCUCGACAGACCCCGCCGCCACGACGAGCUCGAACCGCUCUUCAAGGAGAUGGUGGUGUGCGACCCCCUGCACCGGCAGUACCUCCUGCUUCCCCCAAUCCCCAGUGACCUAGCCGCUCCAGUGGUGAGCCAACUCCUGAUAGAAAGGUCGUGCUUGGCCCAGUGCUUCCUCGCCCCUCCCAGCGACGACCAAAUGGCAACCGCGACGGAGGAGACGUCAUUCAGAGUGAUCUGGCUGGUGGUGCUCCAGACCAGACCGGUGGCCCUCGUAUUCUCCUCCGGCACAGGGCAAUGGCAAGCCCCGAGUCGGAGCGAGUCGUUACCUGGCUUUUUGUUAUCGACAUGGAAGGUUUGGUUUGUGUCGCGCCAUUAUGCACAUGGUUGCUUCGACUGGGUUUCAGGUUCAUGUGAAAAACUGCUCGUGCUUGACAUCCAGAGGAUGGAGUUCUCCAUGGCUGACCACCCACCCUGUGUCAGAUUCCGGGGCGACGAUGUGGCAAUCGCGGAGGCAGGCCAAGGCAUGACUGUGAUGUUUGUGCCUAAACCGGACACAGAUCGCCGUAUUUAUACUGUUUGGCGGCGAAGCAAUGGUGGGAGUUCCGCCAAGUGGCAGAUGGAGAAUGAGACAUUCUCGCUGGAUUCUGGCUCCUUGAUCAAGGGUGCGGUGGGGAGGCACUUGCUCCUAUAUUAUGUUGGAAGCGUGUCGGUCAAGCCAGGUUGUUACAUCCGGGAUGUCGACACUUUGCAGCUUGAGAGGGUGUGUGAUUGAUAUCCCCAUCCGUCAGAAGUAUAUUGCAACUUCCCACCAUCGUUAUUAUCAUCACCGAUGGUGUCAAGUGUCCCACGCCACGCUGACCACCCAGGAGUGGAUGACGUUGUGUCGGCACCAGAACCACGAGAAGCUGACCCUGGAGGCGUGGAAGGACCUAUUGGUCAAGAACUGAUGGACCUCGCCGGGGGACCACCGUGCAAGCGCCGUCGUCGCUGUGGCCGCUCGGGCUCCAGAACCCGCGGAGGCAGGUCGCGGUGGACGGGGAGAAGGAGGCUGAGGCUUGACCCGUGGUGGAUGAGGGCCUGGGGGCGGAUGAGGGGCCAAAUCAAGGUGUUGUCCAAGAUGGCUGCGACCAAGUCCUUGGGCGCCAGGGGCUUGCCUUGACCAGGAUGUGCUAGUAGCUAGCUGAUGGGGACAUGGAAUGACUCGAUCCUUUUUGUAAGGUUUAUACUAUUGGUCUGCUGCGUGUUGAUCCUUUUUGGUUCGAAAACACAAAAUGGUACCACUGUCAACACGCAGACGGCAUCAAGCCGCGGUCUUCUA
This is an RNA transcript of Triticum aestivum (bread wheat), 1711 nucleotides long. RefSeq lists it as uncharacterized. The record is from RefSeq and is a predicted model, not a curated record. The transcript has 2 exons. NCBI's taxonomy places the organism in Eukaryota, Viridiplantae, Streptophyta, Magnoliopsida, Poales, Poaceae.